UACAGAGACCUCAAGCGUUAUCCGGAUUUAUUGGGCGUAAAGCGUCCGCAGGUGUUCUGUCGCAUCUCUGGUAAAAUUCUUUGGCUCAACCAAAGAUCUGCCGGGGAGAUGGACAGAAUUGAGUAUGGAAGAGGUGAGCGGAAUUCUCGGUGUAGUCGUAAUAAGCGUUGAUAUCGAGAAGAACACCAAAUGCGAAGGCAGCUCACUGGUACAUUACUGACACUCAGGGACGAAAGCGUGGGGAG
Molecule: ribosomal RNA, 245 nt
Filed under: uncultured bacterium
Lineage: Bacteria
Description: partial 16S ribosomal RNA
Rfam family: Bacterial small subunit ribosomal RNA
Source: RNAcentral